This 701-nucleotide ribosomal RNA is filed under the name Actinomortierella ambigua. RNAcentral's name for it is "eukaryotic LSU rRNA". It matches the Rfam family "Eukaryotic large subunit ribosomal RNA", at positions 92 to 649 of the family's 3401-position model. The record is from RNAcentral. Lineage: Eukaryota; Fungi; Mortierellomycota; Mortierellomycetes; Mortierellales; Mortierellaceae.
AGUGAAGCGGGAAGAAGCUCAAAUUUGAAAUCUGGCCGGGUUACCGGUCCGAGUUGUAGUUUACAGAAGUGUUUUCGGCGGCAACCUGGGUACAAGUCCUUUGGAACAGGGCAUCAUAGAGGGUGAGAAUCCCGUCCAUGACCCAGUGGAUGCUGCUAUGUGAUACACUUUCAAAGAGUCGAGUUGUUUGGGAUUGCAGCUCAAAAUGGGUGGUAAAUUUCAUCUAAAGCUAAAUACAGGCGAGAGACCGAUAGCGAACAAGUACCGUGAGGGAAAGAUGAAAAGAACUUUGAAAAGAGAGUUAAACAGUGCGUGAAAUUGUUGAAAGGGAAACGUUUGGCACCAGUCGUGCGUUCAGGAAAUCAGUCUAUCGAAGUGGGGAGUUGCAGGAGUUUGGACCGCAAGGCCAGCUUUUGCUGCAUUCUUGUUUGGAUGGAUGCACUUUUCUGUAUGCAGGUCAACAUCAGUUUUGUUCGCCGGACAAAACCCUAAGGGAAUGUGACAGCUUUGGCUGUGUUAUAGCUCUGGGGCGAUACGGUGGAUGGGACUGAGGCUUUCAGUGUGUGCUUUCGGGCAAGGCUGACCGGGUGCUAUGAGACAGUACGGAGUACAAUACAUGUAUUUUGCUUCGUGUCUGGCUUGUACUCGCUCGAAUCAGCUCUUCCACGCUUAGGAUGUUGACAUAAUGGUUCUAAACGACC